RNAcentral lists this ribosomal RNA (838 nucleotides) under Acinetobacter johnsonii. RNAcentral's name for it is "bacterial SSU rRNA". It matches the Rfam family "Bacterial small subunit ribosomal RNA", at positions 29 to 863 of the family's 1533-position model. Lineage: Bacteria; Pseudomonadati; Pseudomonadota; Gammaproteobacteria; Moraxellales; Moraxellaceae. The record is from RNAcentral.
AAGAACUUGGGCCGAGGGCUUACCAUGCAAGUCGAGCGGGGAAGGGUAGCUUGCUACCUGACCUAGCGGCGGACGGGUGAGUAAUGCUUAGGAAUCUGCCUAUUAGUGGGGGACAACAUUCCGAAAGGAAUGCUAAUACCGCAUACGCCCUACGGGGGAAAGCAGGGGAUCUUCGGACCUUGCGCUAAUAGAUGAGCCUAAGUCAGAUUAGCUAGUUGGUGGGGUAAAGGCCUACCAAGGCGACGAUCUGUAGCGGGUCUGAGAGGAUGAUCCGCCACACUGGGACUGAGACACGGCCCAGACUCCUACGGGAGGCAGCAGUGGGGAAUAUUGGACAAUGGGCGAAAGCCUGAUCCAGCCAUGCCGCGUGUGUGAAGAAGGCCUUUUGGUUGUAAAGCACUUUAAGCGAGGAGGAGGCUACCGAGAUUAAUACUCUUGGAUAGUGGACGUUACUCGCAGAAUAAGCACCGGCUAACUCUGUGCCAGCAGCCGCGGUAAUACAGAGGGUGCGAGCGUUAAUCGGAUUUACUGGGCGUAAAGCGUGCGUAGGCGGCUUUUUAAGUCGGAUGUGAAAUCCCUGAGCUUAACUUAGGAAUUGCAUUCGAUACUGGGAAGCUAGAGUAUGGGAGAGGAUGGUAGAAUUCCAGGUGUAGCGGUGAAAUGCGUAGAGAUCUGGAGGAAUACCGAUGGCGAAGGCAGCCAUCUGGCCUAAUACUGACGCUGAGGUACGAAAGCAUGGGGAGCAAACAGGAUUAGAUACCCUGGUAGUCCAUGCCGUAAACGAUGUCUACUAGUCCGUGGGGUCCUUGAGGCUUUACUGGCUCAGCUAACGCGAUAA